CGUGCUAGAGUGCUGAUAUGCGGAAGGAGUGACUGAUUUAGAGUAGGAAAUCAGCAGAAAUCAUUAUUAGCUAGAUUAAUGUGAGAAAGUAGGUCCAGGCCUCAGGGACAUAGAAAUUGCAGCUUCUCAGCAAGGAAGAAAUGGCAAAGCUGGGCCACUGCCUAAGUUCUCAGGACCUUGUAUAGCAAUGACCUUCAGUAUACACAGCACAAAUCCGUUGAAUGAACAAGCUGAGAUGAAGGAUGCGUUUUGCCGGGAGAGACUAUCGGUUUAGUCUGCUCCACAGUGAACUUGGAGAUGCUGGAAUAUAAAACAAAUGCAUGUUCAGAUCCCAGACUACUUAACUGCCUUGCUGCCACCAGAAUCAAUGUGUCUGAUUGUUUUCUUGGGAGAAUGAAGAAGGUAUGGCUAAUAAAACACAAGGUAAAUGCCACAUAACUUGCUACUCAUCAGUAACAUCCAUGCACUGCAGAGAAAACUGUUCAAACUAGACUUCUCUGGGAUUCUACAACCAAUCACUGCUGACUCCCUGUCUUCUCUCUCAGUAGUUAUUAAUAACCUAUCAUCUAUUGGUCUACUCUCUUGCCCAUCCUUCCCUUCCCCUAAGACCCACCUAUUUGAGCAGACUUGCCAAUAAAGACCGUUUUCUCUCAGUA
This 656-nucleotide long non-coding RNA is filed under the name Mus caroli (Ryukyu mouse). RNAcentral's name for it is "lncRNA (MGP_CAROLIEiJ_G0003230.1)". Lineage: Eukaryota; Metazoa; Chordata; Mammalia; Rodentia; Muridae. The record is from RNAcentral.